GCCGGUUUAGCAUAGUGGUAUUGCACCAGUCUUGUAAACUGGAGGCCGGGAGUUCGAUCCUCCCAAUCGGCA
RNAcentral lists this transfer RNA (72 nucleotides) under Only Syngen Nebraska virus 5. It matches the Rfam family "tRNA". Rfam says of the family: Transfer RNA (tRNA) molecules are approximately 80 nucleotides in length. Their secondary structure includes four short double-helical elements and three loops (D, anti-codon, and T loops). Further hydrogen bonds mediate the characteristic L-shaped molecular structure. tRNAs have two regions of fundamental functional importance: the anti-codon, which is responsible for specific mRNA codon recognition, and the 3' end, to which the tRNAs corresponding amino acid is attached (by aminoacyl-tRNA synthetases). tRNAs cope with the degeneracy of the genetic code in two manners: having more than one tRNA (with a specific anti-codon) for a particular amino acid; and 'wobble' base-pairing, i.e. permitting non-standard base-pairing at the 3rd anti-codon position. RNAcentral also lists the same sequence under 1 other name. Lineage: Varidnaviria; Bamfordvirae; Nucleocytoviricota; Megaviricetes; Algavirales; Phycodnaviridae. The record is from Rfam by way of RNAcentral.